This is an RNA transcript of Camelus dromedarius (Arabian camel), 543 nucleotides long. RefSeq lists it as uncharacterized. The transcript has 3 exons. Lineage: Eukaryota; Metazoa; Chordata; Mammalia; Artiodactyla; Camelidae. The record is from RefSeq and is a predicted model, not a curated record.
GGUGGCCUCAGUCUCAGCAGUUCGCGUUGGCCUCUGAGGGGGACGGUGCGGCAUGCAGGCCCCAGAGGAUGACGCCAGGGGUGCCACGGACGGUGCAGGAGGCCUGGGCAACCAGCAGAGCCCCCAGACUCCUGAGGGCCGGAGUUCAGGCAGUCUAGAAGUCAAGGGUGACCACAGUGGCCCGGAAGGCCAGGGCGGCCCUGGCAGUGAAGGAGCAGUGGCCGAAGCUGCUGUUGCUCCUCCCCAAGUUGAGCAGGCACCGCGCGCCCUGGGACCUGCUGGAGAUGCAGCGCCCGUGGCUGUAGGGCCUGGAAGUGAGCUGCUGGAGUUCACACUUACUGUACCUUUCCGAUCCCCCCUGGAGGCAGACAUGGCCCGAAGAUCUCUGAUCCCAGUUGCCCGACGCCACCAAGGGGUGGUCCAGGUGUCUACAGUGAAUGGCAGCGCCCUGGCUGUUAGAUGGACUGCUGAAGACCCCAUUCUCUUCCGAACUGCCAUCAACUCCUUCCUUGAUCAUCUUUCCCUGGUGAUUCGGAACAUUCG